Molecule: ribosomal RNA, 412 nt
Filed under: uncultured bacterium
Lineage: Bacteria
Description: bacterial SSU rRNA
Rfam family: Bacterial small subunit ribosomal RNA
Source: RNAcentral
GUGCCAGAAGAAUCGGCAAUACGGAGGGUGCAAGCGUUGUUCGGAAUUAUUGGGCGUAAAGAGCAUGUAGGCGGUUUGUUAAGUCUGGUGUGAAAGCCCUGGGUUCAACCCAGGAAGUGCAUUGGAUACUGGCAGACUUGAGUAUGGGAGAGGAAAGUGGAAUUCCGAGUGUAGGAGUGAAAUCCGUAGAUAUUCGGAGGAACACCAGUGGCGAAGGCGGCUUUCUGGACCAAUACUGACGCUGAGAUGCGAAAGCNUGGGGAGCAAACAGGAUUAGAUACCCUGGUAGUCCACGCCGUAAACGAUGGGCACUAGGUGUCGCGGGUAACCACUCCUGCGGUGCCGUAGCUAACGCAUUANGUGCCCGCCUGGGGAGUACGGCCGCNAGNNUAAAACUCAAAUGAAUUGACGG